GAUGAACGCUGGCGGCGUGCCUAAUACAUGCAAGUCGAGCGAACAGACGAGGAGCUUGCUCCUCUGACGUUAGCGGCGGACGGGUGAGUCACACGUGGAUAACCUACCUCUAAGACUGGGAUAAUUUUGGGAAACCGUAGCUAAUACCGGAUAAUAUAUUGAACUGCAUGGUUCAAUAGUGAAAGACGGUUUUGCUGUCACUUAUAGAUGGAUCCGCGCCGCAUUAGCUAGUUGGUACGGUAGCGGCUUACCAAGGCAACGAUGCGUAGCCGACCUGAGAGGGAGAUUGGCCACCCGGGAACUGAGACACGGUCCAGACACCGGCGGGAGGAAGCAGUAGGGAAUCUUACGCAAGGGGCGAGAGCCUGACAGAGCACCGCCGCGUGAGUGAUGAAGGUCUUCGGACCGGAAAGCGAUGUUAUUAUGGAAGAAGAAAUGUGUAAGUAACUAUGAUCGUAUUGACGGUACCUAAUCAGAAAGCCACGGCUAACUCCGUG
This 497-nucleotide ribosomal RNA is filed under the name uncultured bacterium. RNAcentral describes it as "partial 16S ribosomal RNA". It matches the Rfam family "Bacterial small subunit ribosomal RNA", at positions 28 to 507 of the family's 1533-position model. The record is from RNAcentral.